AGACCCGAAACCCGGUGAUCUAGCCAUGGGCAGGUUGAAGGUUGGGUAACACUAACUGGAGGACCGAACCGACUAAUGUUGAAAAAUUAGCGGAUGACCUGUGGCUGGGGGUGAAAGGCCAAUCAAACCGGGAGAUAGCUGGUUCUCCCCGAAAGCUAUUUAGGUAGCGCCUCGUGAAUUCAUCUCCGGGGGUAGAGCACUGUUUCGGCUAGGGGGCCAUCCCGGCUUACCAACCCGAUGCAAACUGCGAAUACCGGAGAAUGUUAUCACGGGAGACACACGGCGGGUGCUAACGUCCGUCGUGAAGAGGGAAACAACCCAGACCGCCAGCUAAGGUCCCAAAGUCAUGGUUAAGUGGGAAACGAUGUGGGAAGGCCCAGACAGCCAGGAUGUUGGCUUAGAAGCAGCCAUCAUUUAAAGAAAGCGUAAUAGCUCACUGGUCGAGUCGGCCUGCGCGGAAGAUGUAACGGGGCUAAACCAUGCACCGAAGCUGCGGCAGCGAACGUAUCACCCAAGACAACUUUACGGAGUUGACGAUUGACGGAGCGAAGCGACGUCAAAGCGUUCAUUAAAGUCGAGUUGGCUUAGGGAUACGUUCGUUGGGUAGGGGAGCGUUCUGUAAGCCUGUGAAGGUGUGUCGUGAGGCAUGCUGGAGGUAUCAGAAGUGCGAAUGCUGACAUAAGUAACGAUAAAGCGGGUGAAAAGCCCGCUCGCCGGAAGACCAAGGGUUCCUGUCCAACGUUAAUCGGGGCAGGGUGAGUCGACCCCUAAGGCGAGGCCGAAAGGCGUAGUCGAUGGGAAACGGGUUAAUAUUCCCGUACUUGGUGUUACUGCGAAGGGGGGACGGAGAAGGCUAUGUUGGCCGGGCGACGGUUGUCCCGGUUUAAGCGUGUAGGUGUGUGUUCCAGGUAAAUCCGGUUCACUUUAACACUGAGGCGUGACGACGAGGCACUACGGUGCUGAAGCAACAAAUGCCCUGCUUCCAGGAAAAGCCUCUAAGCAUCAGGUAACACGAAAUCGUACCCCAAACCGACACAGGUGGUCAGGUAGAGAAUACCAAGGCGCUUGAGAGAACUCGGGUGAAGGAACUAGGCAAAAUGGUGCCGUAACUUCGGGAGAAGGCACGCUGACACGUAGGUGAAGUGAUUUACUCAUGGAGCUGAAGUCAGUCGAAGAUACCAGCUGGCUGCAAC
This 1193-nucleotide ribosomal RNA is filed under the name Salmonella enterica. Its description in RNAcentral is "partial 23S ribosomal RNA". It matches the Rfam family "Bacterial large subunit ribosomal RNA", at positions 711 to 1800 of the family's 2925-position model. The record is from RNAcentral. Lineage: Bacteria; Pseudomonadati; Pseudomonadota; Gammaproteobacteria; Enterobacterales; Enterobacteriaceae. RNAcentral also lists the same sequence under 1 other name.